Taeniopygia guttata (zebra finch) is the source of this 11055-nucleotide non-coding RNA. NCBI's taxonomy places the organism in Eukaryota, Metazoa, Chordata, Aves, Passeriformes, Estrildidae. The record is from RefSeq and is a predicted model, not a curated record.
AGGGCAGCCAGAGGGAUGCCCUGGACUCCCACACCUUUGGAUCUGGGCUGACCCAUGCCUUGACAAGGAACACAAGGCACGUGUGGAAAUUGCUGUUGGGUGUCAGAGAAGCAGGGUGUCUUCAGGCAGAAUAUACAGGAUAUGUGAGUUUCUCAUGCCUCCAGAGCUUUGAGGCUGGGAAUGGACUGAGCCUUAGGUGGUUUAAUGAGUGUGCAGAGUGAAGGGCAGGAAAGAGUGGAAAGAGAGGAGGAAUCAUGCAGGAAAAGGGGCAGGUGGCUGUGGCAGAGAGGUUUUCUUCCUCUUGGCUCUUCCACAUGAUUCCUAGGAAAGCACAUCAUGCACAAUCAAAAGGAAAGAUAAGAGACCAAAGUAUAUCCUAAAAUACUAAUCUUGGCAUCAGGAGGGCAUACUAAAAAGAAAUAGGACUUUUUUCUUGUGAAUUAAAAUAUUUCUGAAAGGGAUGAAAUGUUUCGCAAAGGAGGACCCAAGACUUCUCUUCCUUGUCAACAUUUAACUAGACAACAUGGGUCUGCAAAUAAAUCCAAUUCUUCUUUCAAUAUCCCUGAAUCCUUGGGGUUUUUUUUUCCCCCCUUCCUCCAUCGUCUUCAGUCAGCUGCAGUGCUUGCCACUGGAUUCACUGACCCCCUCGGAGCCUGAAGAGUUCCCCACGCACUCAGCCUGGGCAAUAAAGCAUUUCUUUAGGUGUGGAGCUUAUGACUCUCAGCUCACACCACUGGGUCAACAGCAUCUGGAGCCCUGGAACAUUUUAAAGACUGAUCCAAAUGCUCAUCACUGAGGAAAACUCAUCAAAGUUGCUCUUGAGUCUUUCUGCUCAGAGGGGGAAGGCGUUAUCAGGAUGUAAGGGGUGGUUUUGCUUAUAGGCUAGGGAGAUACAAUAAAUAACCUUUCUGUGAGGGCAGAGUCCACUUCAUGGUGCUUGUAGCAUCCAGUGACAUGCCUGAGAACAAGUUUUGUAGCUGCAACUGGAGGAAGCAGGCGAUGUUCAUGGAGUGUCAGAUAAUCCUCUGUGACAUAUGAUCCAAAAACAUAAGGCUGACGAAUAUUCCUGGCGCUGUGUGCCACUACAGAGAGCAGAUUAUGCAUUUUUAAAUGUUUGAUGUUCUUUCAACAGUUAAAAGCCAUUUUGGGCAACAGAUAGCUCUGAAGAUAUUUUAAAUAAUAAUUUUUUUACCACUUGGUCUUAUCAGUGCUUCAUUUUAGGAGGCAGCAUCACAGAAGGCAGAGGGCUCUCCAAGGACCUAGCUCUGAUCUCACUUACCCCUAUUUAUAUCCGGAGUAACUCGGCUGAAACAAAUAGAAUUUACUCCUGCAUUAAGCAAGUGUAACCCAGAGAAGAAUAUAACAGGCCCCUCUGUUUGGUGUUUUCUGUACCUCUCUCCUGCCAACUAUUUUCACAGGUUAGGAUGUUUCUGUGGCAAGGGGAAGCCAGAGCAUCUGGGUUUGAGAGCAUGGAUGGACACAACUCCCAUGCAAGACCUGGCAGCUGGGUCAAGGGAGAGCACUUAGCCAGCAGAAAGCCACGAGCCUGUGGGCUCCAGUGUGGGAAUACCCCCCUGUCUAAGCAAGCAGUCUCACCAAAAUCCUUGGGGACUUAAGGAUUUUACUUAGAACAGUUUAUAGAACCUAAACUUGUAUGCAGGAAUUAAAAAAAGCCCCUAUUAUUAUUUUUAUAAUAUGUAUAGGUAUAUAAGUGAAACCAACAUGCACCAUGGUAGGAAACACUGGUUCUAAUAACCCAUAGACAUCCAGCCCUGAGUUUAUAUUUACCAUCUUUCCAUACCUGGGUAUUUUUUCAGAACUAAAAUCUGUAUGGAUGAUUCAAAAAUACAACCCUCUUGUAGUUUUUAUUGUUGUUGUUAUUAUAUAAGUGAAACCCACUUACAGUGGUAGGAAAUACUGAUUCUAAUGACCCACAGCCAGAGAGAGCUGGGUUUGUAUUUAUUCUUUCCAGUCCUGUGCAUGUGCUAGAAGCUAAGUGGCUCUGCAGAGCUCUCUCGAUCUGAGCAUUUUCCCCUCUCAGGCAAUUGCAUUUCCCACUAAAUACUAUGCUCUGCUUUUCCUGCCCUGCUGGCAGUGCAAAUGUGCCAAUCUCAUUCUCGAGCCAUGGUUCCUGUUGUGGGAUCAAAUGUUAGGAUUUUAAAAGCUAAAGUUUGAUGUGGAUGAACAACUGCCUAUAAAACGCAUUAAGCUCUUACCCUGUAAUGUAUUUAAUUUCACACUGACUGAUGGUAUUGCCCCUGAAUGGAUUACGGCAGGGGGCUGCCAUUGUCCUACUAAACCACACUGGUUAAAUAAUACCUUGGAGUCUAAAGCUGCUCUGGGAGCAUUUCAUAUUGGCUAACAUGUGAAAUGAAUACCUAGCUUUUCUGCGAGCACUUUGGGUUGGUUUAGGAAAAAAAUUAAAUUAAAAAAAAAAAAAACAACAACUACAUGUUGAGUUGAUUUACAGCGCAGGAAAACUGUGCACAGUUGUAGGAUGGUUCUCCCUCUGUGAAACACAAACCAGCAGCUAUAAAGGGCCCUGGUUCAGAGAAGUGCAGGUGCUUGCCUUGGCUCAGGGGCUGGGAAGGCUGCUGGACAAAGCAGGAGUGCAUUACUUCUCAGGAGAGGUCCCCCUAAGCUCAUUCCUCAUGGGUGUUUGGUGCUUGCAGUGUAUUUAUUUAAGCAGUGUCUCCUUGACAUUAGUGCCCAAAGGGUCAGAGACUGGAGUGCUGCUCAGGGCUCAAAUAUGUUAAUGUCUCAGUGUCAUAGUUGAGGAGUAUCAGCUUCGUUACUGAGCUGUUUUAAUUAAUUGUUUUUAGCUUCAAGAGAUUUUCCCUGCUAAACAAUUCCUGCUUAUUCUGCAUUCUCUGCCCCUUAUGCUGAGGUUAAUCAUAAGAGCUCCUUCAAUGGAGUUACACCUUCUGUAUGCAAAGUCAGGCUUCUGGACUCUACCAAUCAUUGAUGCAUGUCCUGCUCUGAAUCAUGUCAUUUUGGGAAAGCCUGUGAUUAACUCUAUGAGCAAAUGCUUGCCUGUUUCACCCUGCUUCUUAUUAUGCAAGGUAACCUCAAAUCAAGGAGCAUUUCUCAAGUCCAUGCAACUGCAGGCAAAUUCUGUGCUAAGUAAUUUUAAAACUAUGUGCUUUAUCUGAAUAAGUAUAUUUACGUGUAUAUAUAAAUAUGGGGAUGUAUAAAAUAUAUAUAGAAAGAGAGAGGUCUGUAACAUGCACAAUGAAUGUGUGGUUAGGGAUGCCAUUAUCUGCAGUCGGCUGAGGCACGAGCCCUAAGCAACUUUGCUUAUUGCAUUAAGAAAAAUUAAAUGAUCUUUUCUUUCUUUAAAAAGAGAAAGAAUUGUGAUAAGAAAAGGAUAAGGAGGUAUUAAAGCCCCACUAGUCGUUUGGAGUUUUUUUUUUUCCCUCCCCGCCCCAGACUUCAGCAGAGCCAGGAAAGAAUGCUGGAAGUCAUCAGAGGCAUGGCUGGGAUAGAGAGUGUUAAUUCUUCCAUAUCUAAGCCUCUUUGUCGAAAUUCCCUUUGUCUCUUGCCCCAGGUCAUUAAACACUAAUCCCAUCACUCUUCCUAAUCCGCUGCAGUGGAGCCAGAGUUCAGUUUCCGAAACUGUCUUUGUUGCUUUCCUAAUAGACAGCUCGCUCUGGAUUUUGGUUGGUUCGGUCACAUUUAGGGCCUUCCAGCACAGUUCUUUAAUGAAGUGCCAUUAAUGAAACUUUUCCUCCUUCAUGCAGUGUGCACGGGCAUCAAUUGGUUUAGGCUUAAGUAGGGUAAGGUGCCCAGUCAUCGCAGCAGCCUUUGCAAAAUAUGACUGUCAAAGGCAAAACCUAGGAAACAAGACCAUUGAAGAAUAUAGCCAGUGAAGUACUCAUUUAAUUACUAAGGAUUUACAAAAGAAAAUCUGUUCUUUGUGGCUUACAAAAGACAACAAGCUCAGAAGAGAUAGUAAAGGGUUUGGAACCUAUUCUCUUUUCUCCCUCCCCCUCUUCCCAACAAAUCCUGGAAGAGGAAAUGUGGCUGAGCAAAGGCAUCAAAGCCUGUUGUAAACUCUUUCCAACCUGCUGCAGGAACACUAACUUUCUAAGUGGGAGGUGUUCCACUUGUUGCUAAAAUAAACUUUGAAACCUCUCCUGCCAGGAGAUGUGGCCACAUUAUCGCAAUCAAUUCUUCUGUGGCAGAAAAUCGAGCAUUGGUCCAUUCCUCUGUGCUGAGAGUAAAAGCUGCUUCAUAACAAAAAUAUUUCUGUUAAUGGGAGAUGGUUUGUAGACUUGCAUUUGGCUGCAUGGGUGUAGUGGAUGUCUUGAAGGGAGCACUUCUGAGGCAGAGGAUAGAUAGCAAAACUUUGCAUCUUUCUUAUGGCAGUGAUGUUGAGACCCUUCACAUUCAGUUCAUUUGCCACAAGCAUAAGAAGGAAAGCAAGGUGUUGAAAACACCUGAGAAAAAAAGCUGUUCAUGUCUGGAGCAGGCCCAUCUCUACUUUUAAACUGUUGCCAAAAUGAUAGAUUCUGUAUAGGUUUGAGCAUAACCAUUCCAUCUUUGGAAAGCUUUCUUCUGCAGCUAUGUACAGGAGGUCCUGCAUUAAUUGGACCAUCUUCUCCCUAAGUCUUGAGAUGUGGAUUUGGAGCAACUUCCUUGUUCUCAGUGGGAUGAAAAGUUAAAAAAAAAAAUAAAGACUGAGAGGGUAGGAAAGCCAUUCAAGCUAGCAAAUCUGCUGGCUGUAUAAAGUCUCUUUGGUAGGUGUUAACAUUUUUUCCUGUGAUAUGAACUAUCUGAUUACCAGCAAACUUGUGAUAUGAAAUAAACCACAUCUGAUUUUACAGCAUGCCUUCCAUACGUUCUGUUUUACAAUGUUCAUGUGACAUAUAAAUGAGAUCCAGGUUUGAUUAUUAAGCAAUUUAAUUACUCUGUCAAAGUUGAUAUUAUAGUGCCCCGGAACAGACUGCUCCAAGGGAGGGUAUUCCUUUAAAGGCUCUUUUAACAACUGUGGGCCUGUGUUUGGUUUGUCUAAAUCCUAUUUUUCCUAUUUCUUGUUUUUACACAUCUUUCUAUCUAUCUAUCUAUCUAUCUAUCUAUCUAUCUAUCUAUCUAUCUAUCUAUCUCAGUUGGUUUUGGGGUUGUUUGUUCUUUUGUUUAUGUUCUUGUGUUCUUGGAUUUUAUUCUGUUUCAUUGCCAAAAUGUUCUGGCAGGUGACACCUUUGCUUGAUCUUCUUCAAACAUUUUGGUGCAAUUAUGUUGCCUCUGGUUGUAAGCCAGCUUGAUAACUUGCUUUACUAAAAAAAAUCUCUUAAAUCCCCAGGGACAAUAAAUCAGAUCCAUUUACAAAGUGAAUAAAUCACAACAAAAUGAUUCAUUUGCAAAUGAAACCACAGCAUUCUCUGGAGAUAAAGAAAAACAACUGCAUUUUGCCAUUUCAUCACGGUUUCUUCCCCCCCUAAAAUUCCAAUGUGCAUCUACUGUUGGCAAUAAAAGUUACACUUGCAUGUUGUUAAAAUCCGUUCAUAUGCUUCAGCAAUUCUACUUUCCCUGUAAUUGACUUGCCAAGUCUCCUACUUCAGGGAAUUGGAACAGCUUUCACGUGUGAUGAGGGAAAAUUUCCUGUACGAGUCACUUCAAAAACAAUAAUAAUAACAAUAAAAAAAUCCAGAACAUAUCCUGGUGUUGUUUAUGACCAGCGCUGGAGCCGCACACCCCACAGCAGCAUCACCAGCUGAGUGCCAGCUGUCUGCUAGUCUUUGACCCUUUAAACUUAGUCCUCACUCAAGUUGAUCUGCUAAUACUGAAUUAGCUCCCCAUGGCUGCAUCCUGGCAGAGCUUUUCAUUUAAUCCUUCCCUUCCUUCCAUUUCCCAACUACUGACUUUUUUUUUUUUUUUUUUUUUUUUCCACUCAUCUCUCUCUGCUUUCACCAACUGCAGCUCAGAUGUAAGAGGAGUUUUGGAUGAACCCAUGCAACUUCUGGGGAGUGUCUUCUGCAGGCCAUGGCCCCGAAUAACUCCAUAAUCAUUAAAAAAGCAUGUUGGGGAUGGACAUCAAAGCACUGAGUACUGGUUAAUGCCAUGAAUGAAACAUCUGUUGGUUUCCUCGGCUGGGAUUGAUUUUCCCUCCCUGCCAUCUAUAGGAGCUCAUGCAGGGCUCCGUGCACGUGGAAUUUUCUCAUGAAGCCCUUGACGUAAUUCCAACAAAAGGACAUGAAGAAUUUCCUUUCCUUUGCUAGUGGUGGCAUUCAGACAGAAAGAGAACCCCUGGAAAAUGUAAAAGCUUUUGUAAAAACAUGAGAAAAGCAUUUAAAGGCUUUUCAAAGAAAGAAAACAUCAAUGUAAAGCCUCCCAUAGUUGUCUGCCCAUGCGGUCUCUCUUGAUUUGAAGAGAUUUUAGCCUUGUGGGGGAGGGAGGCAGAACUGAGGGUUUUGUUGGUUUUAUUGUUCUGCUGGUUUGUUUUGAAUUCUGUGAUAUCUUCUUUUCCAUCAACACAUGCAUGAACUGUGAUUAUACUUGAACAUUUAUUUAGCCCUUCAGAAGCAUCACUAUUCAAGCAUAAAAAUUCUCAUGUGUGUUGCUCUGGCCAAUAAAUUUCUUUGAUGCUUGGCAGGAGUUUACACUUUGAUGCUCUGUAGUGAUUUUCACUGAAAGACUUCAGGGAUGAGUUACCAACCCAGUAUCUUCUGGAUGGACUGCACAGCUGUGUGGAUCAGCCCCUCUUUCCCUCUCCACCCCCAGCUCCCCUUUAGCUUCCCAGGCAGGGUUGCCCAUGGUCAAAGCCAAAGCCUCUCAGAAAGGAGCCACAAAGCUGAUCAUUGCCAAAGAGACUUUCAGAGAAAGGAAAGGGAGAUGGGAAACAGAGUGGUGGAGGAGGAGAGCUGGGAGAGAUUCCUCUCACCAGCAACAAGGAAACUGUGGAGGGAGGUGGGAAGGUACAGAAAUGCAUAGAAAGGAUAUGCAGCUUUCCCCCAUUUGCAUGCUCAGACACUCUGCCUCCCUGGUGGCACUGUCCCUUGCCUCACUAGCACUUCCAAAGCCUUGGAAAAGAAAUGCCCUUUAAAAAGGGGAGUUAAUAAAAGAAAACCAGCUCUUCAAUUGACAUCUCCUUCCUAAGCAGCAGCACUAGAACUCUGGUGAUUCCAUUGUGGUUUGCUUGGGAGGCUGAACAGAAAAGGCACAGGAAGUUUAGUCUAAUUGUAAAGAAGAGAGAAAACUAUUCAAUUCCAAAUAUGCUGGAGCACCCAAAAUACAUUCAGGGUCUCCUGUUUAUUUCUGUCAUCCUGUCUUCUCCCAGAGUAAAUAUCUCAGUGUGAGUUUUCAUGAGAAAAGUAAAACCAAGCAUUUUCAGUCCUUCUUUAGGAGAAGGGAGAAGCAGAGAUUUUAAAUAAAUUUAGCAAAGGGAUGUGUCAGCUUUAUUACAAUCUUUCUCCCUUGUUCUUGUCAACUUUCUUUUGUAACAAAAUCCUCCCCACCUCCAUGCAAAACCAGGAAAUAUGAUCCAGUGUCCAUCCAGCAACACUAGGUACCAGGUCUGAGGAGUUUAUUUUUGUUGGAAGGUCCCAGAGGGGUCUGCCUAUGUCUAGCUUGGAGAAGUGAGUACUGGUGGCUUUAUCCAGGAGGAUAACAGUGAGAUAAGGUGGGAAGAACACAGUUUUCUGGGCACUUCUUUUGCUGUCAGAUCCCAGCAGUUCAAGGAGUUGGGUUGCCUGCUGUCUGGUCUGUCCUCCCAAGCAUAUAGUUUUUCUUAUAGAGACUUCCACUUGUGAACAAAUUUCUCCCUGCAAAUACGUUUGUAGAGGUAUGAAGGUGAAAUUCAUUGGCCUCCGUUUCAGAAGAAGUCAUGUUCCAUGACCUAAUGGCCUUGGAUGCCUGUUAAAAAUUCCAGAUUUAAAAUUGUCCUUGUGAAAAGAAGUGCCAAAGUCUAAAAUUAUCCUACAAGAAAGGCUCACACAAAGAUUUCUCUUUCAGCGGGGUUUGCACAUCAGGUUUCUGCUGCUCAAAGGAUUCGCAGUGCAGUGUGUCAGCUUUGAUGAUGGAAAUAUUACCCUCUUGCCUGGAUUUUAUUUUAUGUUUGUUUUCCCUUCUGCCUCUAGUAGUCUGCAGGACUCCUCCUGAAAAAGGCUAAUUACCCAUCCAAACCUGCCAGUGGGGCAGGGUAAGGGCUGGCUGUGCCCCUGAGAGCAGAUCUUUCCAAGAGAAACACUCAGACAACACAGCUCUUGAGUGCCUCAGCCAUAAAUCUCCUCUGGGCAUCUGCCUGCUUUAUGGACUCUGCCAUUUUCUCUCAGACAAUUCAGAGCCUGCCCUAUUGCCUCUUGCAGAGGCAGAAAGAGCACAGCUUGCUCUGGAGAGAAGAAGAUUUAAGUUUUCGAUAAUAUCGGGAUGAAAUUACCAGAAAAGUUGAUAGUAUGUGAUUCUUUUAAGCUAGCAAGAGAGUGGUGACAGUCUUCUGCUCUCUCUUCUGCUCUCUGCAAGGUGAGUUGAAAGGAGAGGGCAAUGAGAUUUUAGUCUGUAUCUUUUAAGGGAAGGAUUAAAAAAGAUCAGUUUAAUAUGCAGUAAAGGAGAUUUAGAUGAGAUAUUACAGAACUUCCUCAUACUCAAAACAGUUAAGCACUGGAGCAGAAUAUUCAGUAACUAUGUGGAAUCACCACUGUAGGAGACACAUCUGUAAAGGUUGGGUUUAAGGAAACAUAAUCCUGUCUCCAACAGAUGGUGUGGAUGAUUCCUCAGGGACAACACUCAUCUCAAUUUCAUAUGGUUCACUACAGAGAACUUUCCCACUAUAAAGAGGCUAAUAUCUGAUUCCUAAGUUCAAAAAAGAACAUAAGAAAAGCCAUACGGGUUCAAAACUAAAAAUCUUACCCGGUGUCUCAUCUGCUACAGGGACCCACAACAUCUGGAAGGAAUGUAAGAGCAAGAGCGUCAUAUGGGGAUACUUUCCCCAAAUUAUCUCCCACUUGGUAAAUUUUGGAAUUUAGGGAUGUGACUUCUCUAUCCAGAGGUGUUGUCUUUUUAAGAUCAAUAUAAAUAACUCACUUGUUUGGUUUUUCUGUCAGAUUUUUGCAUUAGCUUUUUGACUCAGGAAAAAUAAAGUGGUCAUGGUGGAAGAGGAAAGAGUAUGAGAGGAGAAAAAAAGAGAAACUGGGAAAAGGGGAAAGAGGGAAGCAGAAGGAAAGAGAAAGGAAGAAAGUGAGUAGUGAAAGCAAAGAAUCAAUAUGAAGAGGAAAGGAUGUGAAUACCUUGCCACUAAGGAAAGCAGGGAAACAGCUGGUAGCAUGAGGUGUGACAUCAGUGACUGAGUCCAAGCCAAGCCAAAUCUGACAACUGCUCUCUCCACAGCUUAGAUGCCUUGUUUGGGAGCUGAAUCAAUGGAAGUCCAUGCAUCAUUCGUGUAUUUGCAAACACCUUUUAUUGCCAGCCCUCUGCAUGGACUGAAGCCCCAGUCCUUCCCCAGGGCUGGAGGGGCUGAGCACGGGCUGCUCUGCUGGAGAGGAAAAGUUGGAUCUGAUGCCAAAAGGUCUCCAGUGCUGGUGGAAAUGGCACCUGGAGAAUCCAGCAGCAGGGAAGUGGUGAAUGUCUAUCACACCCAGACUUACACUGAAAAACUAAUGCACUGAUGUCUUGUGAACUUCUCUUUUUCGUGGCUGGUUUAGCUGGGGAGGUGCUGAUGUCCUGGGAGAAAGGGCAUCCAAAACCAAAUAGCUGUCAGAAGUUUCUUUGGUUGUAGUAUUUUUGGUCUGAGAAGGUUGAUUUACUAAGCGUGGUUGCAGGAGGGGAGUGUUGAGAGACAAUAUUGAUGGGUCUUUGUUGUCACUUUGUUUUUCACCAAAGAUGUGUGGCAUUCCUGAGUUUACCCUGUCCUGACAGGAGCGUAUUUGAAACCAAAAUAUUAAUUUUCUUCUUUACCUUUCUGUUGUUCCCCACUUCUGGCAGGUUACAGUACCCCUGAACGCUGUUGUUGACCUCGGACAUGUUCUUGUUGGGAGGUUUAUUGAUGGUUGAUUAUCUGAAUUUAGUUACUGCUUGUGACUGUAAUCCAGGAGACUUCUGUUCCAUGGAUAGCCAGUGUUGCACUGAACCUUGCAGCUCUACACUGUUAGUUGAACUCUGUUGUUCUCAUCUUUGUGUGUCUGGAUUUGUCUUAAGCUUAAGAGUGGGAGAAAAUUUCAGAUUUCCUUCAGUCAUCAUGAGGGCACUACUCAUGUUCAGGCUGGUGACAUUACCAGUGGCAAUCUGCACUAGAAGAAAAUCUGUAACUCAGCAUCACUUUGGUUAAAAUAUCUUUCUUAAAAAAGACCCAACAGGACAAAGGGGGAUCCCUCUGUGUCAGGAGAGAAGGGAGAAGCUAAGAGAGUCACACACUAGUUCUAUAUAACAUCCAGAAAUUACAUUAAUUGAGCGCUUCCACUAUCCCAUCCUUUUCUGAUUUUGUGAAUAUCACAUGUAGAACAGCAUCAUGUGGUUGUUAAUUAUGACAAGCAAAAUGCAAUUUUGUAAUAAGGCUAGCAGAUGUUUGCAGCACUAAAUAUUCAGCUCAAACCCAGUCCUUUUUGCCCAGCACACUGCCAGUCAAGAUCACAUAGAGUGUCUGAAUUAUUUUUUUUUAAUUUGUUGUUCUCUAUAAAUUCCCUCUAGCUCACCUUUUAAUCUCUCUAUUUGCGAUGUGAUCUGUAAGAUCAGGUUGCAGAAAAUUACAAUAUUCCAUUUGCUCGUAAUUAGGCUCUCAUUUUCUCUCCAUCGGGCAAAGAGAAAUUUUGCCACUAAUUGUGGUAGGACAGGACCAGCCCCUCUGCUUUGCUUUUGUAAGGAUUUUAAAGGCCAUGUGAACAUAUGAAAAGUUUGUGUUGACCAAAAUGUCUGUGAUGAACUGAAAGACAGCCAUUUGCACUCGUGUGAGAAGAGCUCUGUUAAGAGCCAUCAAUCCCACUUGUGACAGCAUAUUGACACUUGCUGGUCUUUAGGAUUCAUUUCUUAAAAUGCUAAUGCAGACAAGUUCCUGUCUGCUGUGGGAAAAUAUGGGGGAACUUUGUUAGAUGAGACACUCAAGUGCAAAUAAAUGUUUCCUGUAAGAAA